AUUAGCGGAUGACCUGUGGCUGGGGGUGAAAGGCCAAUCAAACCGGGAGAUAGCUGGUUCUCCCCGAAAGCUAUUUAGGUAGCGCCUCGUGAAUUCAUCUCCGGGGGUAGAGCACUGUUUCGGCUAGGGGGCCAUCCCGGCUUACCAACCCGAUGCAAACUGCGAAUACCGGAGAAUGUUAUCACGGGAGACACACGGCGGGUGCUAACGUCCGUCGUGAAGAGGGAAACAACCCAGACCGCCAGCUAAGGUCCCAAAGUCAUGGUUAAGUGGGAAACGAUGUGGGAAGGCCCAGACAGCCAGGAUGUUGGCUUAGAAGCAGCCAUCAUUUAAAGAAAGCGUAAUAGCUCACUGGUCGAGUCGGCCUGCGCGGAAGAUGUAACGGGGCUAAACCAUGCACCGAAGCUGCGGCAGCGACGCUGAUGCGUUGUUGGGUAGGGGAGCGUUCUGUAAGCCUGUGAAGGUGGCCUGUGAGGGUUGCUGGAGGUAUCAGAAGUGCGAAUGCUGACAUAAGUAACGAUAAAGCGGGUGAAAAGCCCGCUCGCCGGAAGACCAAGGGUUCCUGUCCAACGUUAAUCGGGGCAGGGUGAGUCGACCCCUAAGGCGAGGCCGAAAGGCGUAGUCGAUGGGAAACGGGUUAAUAUUCCCGUACUUGGUGUUACUGCGAAGGGGGGACGGAGAAGGCUAUGUUGGCCGGGCGACGGUUGUCCCGGUUUAAGCGUGUAGGUGUGUGUUCCAGGUAAAUCCGGUUCACUUUAACACUGAGGCGUGAUGACGAGGCACUACGGUGCUGAAGCAACAAAUGCCCUGCUUCCAGGAAAAGCCUCUAAGCAUCAGGUAACAUCAAAUCGUACCCCAAACCGACACAGGUGGUCAGGUAGAGAAUACCAAGGCGCUUGAGAGAACUCGGGUGAAGGAACUAGGCAAAAUGGUGCCGUAACUUCGGGAGAAGGCACGCUGACACGUAGGUGAAGUGAUUUACUCAUGGAGCUGAAGUCAGUCGAAGAUACCAGCUGGCUGCAACUGUUUAUUAAAAACACAGCACUGUGCAAACACGAAAGUGGACGUAUACGGUGUGACGCCUGCCCGGUGCCGGAAGGUUAAUUGAUGGGGUCAGCGCAAGCGAAGCUCCUGAUCGAAGCCCCGGUAAACGGCGGCCGUAACUAUAACGGUCCUAAGGUAGCGAAAUUCCUUGUCGGGUAAGUUCCGACCUGCACGAAUGGCGUAAUGAUGGCCAGGCUGUCUCCACCCGAGACUCAGUGAAAUUGAACUCGCUGUGAAGAUGCAGUGUACCCGCGGCAAGACGGAAAGACCCCGUGAACCUUUACUAUAGCUUGACACUGAACAUUGAGCCUUGAUGUGUAGGAUAGGUGGGAGGCUUUGAAGCGUGGACGCCAGUCUGCAUGGAGCCGGCCUUGAAAUACCACCCUUUAAUGUUUGAUGUUCUAACGUGGACCCGUGAUCCGGGUUGCGGACAGUGUCUGGUGGGUAGUUUGACUGGGGCGGUCUCCUCCUAAAGAGUAACGGAGGAGCACGAAGGUUGGCUAAUCCUGGUCGGACAUCAGGAGGUUAGUGCAAUGGCAUAAGCCAGCUUGACUGCGAGCGUGACGGCGCGAGCAGGUGCGAAAGCAGGUCAUAGUGAUCCGGUGGUUCUGAAUGGAAGGGCCAUCGCUCAACGGAUAAAAGGUACUCCGGGGAUAACAGGCUGAUACCGCCCAAGAGUUCAUAUCGACGGCGGUGUUUGGCACCUCGAUGUCGGCUCAUCACAUCCUGGGGCUGAAGUAGGUCCCAAGGGUAUGGCUGUUCGCCAUUUAAAGUGGUACGCGAGCUGGGUUUAGAACGUCGUGAGACAGUUCGGUCCCUAUCUGCCGUGGGCGCUGGAGAACUGAGGGGGGCUGCUCCUAGUACGAGAGGACCGGAGUGGACGCAUCACUGGUGUUCGGGUUGUCAUGCCAAUGGCACUGCCCGGUAGCUAAAUGCGGAAGAGAUAAGUGCUGAAAGCAUCUAAGCACGAAACUUGCCCCGAGAUGAGUUCUCCCUGAGACUUAGAGUCUCCUGAAGGAACGUUGAAGACGACGACGUUGAUAGGCCGGGUGUGUAAGCGCAGCGAUGCGUUGAGCUAACCGGUACUAAUGAACCGUGAGGCUUAACCUUACAACGCCGAAG
This 2166-nucleotide ribosomal RNA is filed under the name Salmonella enterica. Its description in RNAcentral is "partial 23S ribosomal RNA". It matches the Rfam family "Bacterial large subunit ribosomal RNA", at positions 796 to 2925 of the family's 2925-position model. The record is from RNAcentral. Lineage: Bacteria; Pseudomonadati; Pseudomonadota; Gammaproteobacteria; Enterobacterales; Enterobacteriaceae.